CCUAGGGUUGUAAAGCACUUUCAAUUGGGAGGAAAACCUGCCGGUCAAUACCCGGUAGCUUGACAUUACCUUUAGAAGAAGCACCGGCUAACUCCGUGCCAGCAGCCGCGGUAAUACGGAGGGUGCGAGCGUUAAUCGGAAUUACUGGGCGUAAAGCGUGCGUAGGUGGUUCGUUAAGUCAGAUGUGAAAGCCCUGGGCUCAACCUGGGAACUGCAUUUGAAACUGGCGGACUAGAGUUUAGUAGAGGGGAGUGGAAUUUCAGGUGUAGCGGUGAAAUGCGUAGAUAUCUGAAGGAACACCAGUGGCGAAGGCGACUCCCUGGACUAAANCUGACGCUGAGGUACGAAAGCGUGGGUAGCAAACAGGAUUAGAUACCCUGGUAGUCCACGCCGUAAACGAUGUCGACUAGCCGUUGGUCCUAUAUACAGGAUUAGUGGCGCAGCUAACGCAUUAAGUCGACCGCCUGGGGAGUACGGCCGCAAGGUUAAAACUCAAAGG
RNAcentral lists this ribosomal RNA (499 nucleotides) under uncultured bacterium. Its description in RNAcentral is "bacterial SSU rRNA". It matches the Rfam family "Bacterial small subunit ribosomal RNA", at positions 416 to 907 of the family's 1533-position model. The record is from RNAcentral.